UCCUUCAUGUCACAACCAUUUUGAGUGAUUCAACUUGCAUUCAAUCCAGCAUUCAAAGAUCUUUCAUAUGCAUAGCAGGGCAUGGAGAAAGAAGGUACUCGAAAACUUACUUGUUUUUGAAGCAAGUUGUGAAACAGUGAUGUUUUUGAUGAUAGGAGUGCAAACAGCUGACCCUUGUGCUUGGCAAUGAAGGAUACUUGGUGUAG
RNAcentral lists this long non-coding RNA (206 nucleotides) under Lathyrus oleraceus (garden pea). RNAcentral's name for it is "Pisum sativum (pea) long non-coding RNA (PSAT_LNC017071)". The record is from RNAcentral. Lineage: Eukaryota; Viridiplantae; Streptophyta; Magnoliopsida; Fabales; Fabaceae.